Molecule: ribosomal RNA, 468 nt
Filed under: uncultured bacterium
Lineage: Bacteria
Description: partial 16S ribosomal RNA
Rfam family: Bacterial small subunit ribosomal RNA
Source: RNAcentral
GACGAACGCUGGCGGCGUGCUUAACACAUGCAAGUCGAACGGAAAGGCCCUGCUUUUGUGGGGUGCUCGAGUGGCGAACGGGUGAGUAACACGUGAGUAACCUGCCCUUGACUUUGGGAUAACUUCAGGAAACUGGGGCUGAUACCGGCUAGGAGCUCCUGCUGCAUGGUGGGGGUUGGAAAGUUUCGGCGGUUGGUGAUGGACUCGCGGCUUAUCAGCUUGUUGGUGGGGUAGUGGCUUACCAAGGCUCUGACGGGUAGCCGGCCUGAGAGGGUGGCCGGCCACAUUGGGACUGAGAUACGGCCCAGAGUCCUACGGGAGGCAGCAGUGGGGAAUAUUGCACAAUGGGCGGGAGCCUAAUGCAGCAACGCCGCGUGCGGGAAGACGGCCUUCGGGUUGUAAGCCGCUUUCGCCUGUGACGAAGCGUGAGUGACGGUAAUGGGUAAAGAAGCACCGGCUAACUACGUG